ACUCCCUCAUUAGCAUCUCAUCCUAAGGACACCUUCUACCUCCUUGUCCUCUAAGCAAUGCUUUUCAAACCCUACAGACCAGUGCCUGCAUCAGAAUAAUGAGGAAGGGCUUUUGGAAUACUAUGCAGCCAUGUCCCUCUGCAGGGACAUGGAUGAAGCUGGAAACCGUCAUUCUCAGCAAACUAACAUAAGAACAGAAAACCAAACACCACAUGUCCUCACUCAUAAGUGGGAGUUGAACAAUGAGAAUACAUGGACACGGGCAGUGACCUGAGAAGCUACGUAUUGACACGGCGCUACCACGGGUGGAGGAGCCUGCAUUGCUGAAUCACAGGAUGAAGGCGAAUCCCUGCCAGCCUCCAUCCAUCUCUGGGGUGCUUAGCAGAAUCCUCAGCUCACAAGAUGAAUAAAUGCAGACUAAAUGAUGCACAAAUAAUCUUCACACACAACCAUCAACACAUGGAAAGACUGCAGGACGGCCAGAUCCCAAGCUAACAAACAGGGGAAGAUGAUGUUUCAAAUGAUCAUCUGAAUGCUGGGUUUCCACCUUCCACCAGGAAGUCAUAUGGUUGUUCAACAGUUUCGUAUCUGCCAAACCUGAGAAAA
Molecule: long non-coding RNA, 606 nt
Organism: Homo sapiens (human)
Lineage: Eukaryota; Metazoa; Chordata; Mammalia; Primates; Hominidae
Gene: CT69
Product: cancer/testis associated transcript 69
Source: Ensembl